RNAcentral lists this ribosomal RNA (797 nucleotides) under uncultured Staphylococcus sp. RNAcentral describes it as "bacterial SSU rRNA". It matches the Rfam family "Bacterial small subunit ribosomal RNA", at positions 554 to 1349 of the family's 1533-position model. Lineage: Bacteria; Bacillati; Bacillota; Bacilli; Caryophanales; Staphylococcaceae. The record is from RNAcentral.
UUGGGCGUAAAGCGCGCGUAGGCGGUUUUUUAAGUCUGAUAUGAAAGCCCACGGCUCAACCGUGGAGGGUCAUUGGAAACUGGAAAACUUGAGUGCAGAAGAGGAAAGUGGAAUUCCAUGUGUAGCGGUGAAAUGCGCAGAGAUAUGGAGGAACACCAGUGGCGAAGGCGACUUUCUGGUCUGUAAUUGACGCUGAUGUGCGAAAGCGUGGGGAUCAAACAGGAUUAGAUACCCUGGUAGUCCACGCCGUAAACGAUGAGUGCCAAGUGUUAGGGGGUUUCCGCCCCUUAGUGCUGCAGCUAACGCAUUAAGCACUCCGCCUGGGGAGUACGACCGCAAGGUUGAAACUCAAAGGAAUUGACGGGGACCCGCACAAGCGGUGGAGCAUGUGGUUUGAUUCGAAGCAACGCGAAGAACCUUACCAAAUCUUGACAUCCUUUGACCCUUCUAGAGAUAGAAGUUUCCCCUUCGGGGGACAAAGUGACAGGUGGUGCAUGGUUGUCGUCAGCUCGUGUCGUGAGAUGUUGGGUUAAGUCCCGCAACGAGCGCAACCCUUAAGCUUAGUUGCCAUCAUUAAGUUGGGCACUCUAAGUUGACUGCCGGUGACAAACCGGAGGAAGGUGGGGAUGACGUCAAAUCAUCAUGCCCCUUAUGAUUUGGGCUACACACGUGCUACAAUGGACAAUACAAAGGGCAGCGAAACCGCGAGGUCAAGCAAAUCCCAUAAAGUUGUUCUCAGUUCGGAUUGUAGUCUGCAACUCGACUACAUGAAGCUGGAAUCGCUAGUAAUCGUAGAU